AAUAAAUAUUAUUAUAGAGUUUGUCUAUAAAAUUAAUUCAAUAGAUGCAAGUUCAGGCUGUUUGAGAGAUCUGUUUCAUAAAUGCACCGAAUUGAAGAGAGUGAUUCUUACGACAAUACGUACAGUGUCUGAUUUUGAUCUGGUAACUAUUGCAAAUCACUUGAAAUAUUUAGAGCAACUUGAUCUAUUAGGUGUGAGAGAAA
Molecule: long non-coding RNA, 203 nt
Filed under: Centruroides sculpturatus (bark scorpion)
Lineage: Eukaryota; Metazoa; Arthropoda; Arachnida; Scorpiones; Buthidae
Description: uncharacterized LOC111616478, transcript variant X2
Source: RNAcentral